GACGAACGCUGGCGGCGUGCUUAACACAUGCAAGUCGAACGGACAGACAGAGAGCUUGCUCUCUUGAAGUUAGUGGCGAACGGGUGAGUAACGCGUAAUCAACCUGCCCUCAGAGGGGGAUAACAACGGGAAACCGUUGCUAAUACCGCGUACGAUUCAUGAACGGCAUCGUUUAUGAAUGAAAGGUGGCCUCUAUGUAUAAGCUAUCGCUGAAGGAGGGGAUUGCGUCUGAUUAGCUAGUUGGAGGGGUAACGGCCCACCAAGGCAAUGAUCAGUAGCCGGUCUGAGAGGAUGAACGGCCACAUUGGGACUGAGACACGGCCCAAACUCCUACGGGAGGCAGCAGUGGGGAAUCUUCCGCAAUGGACGAAAGUCUGACGGAGCAGCGCCGCGUGAGCGAUGAAGGUCUUCGGAUUGUAAAGCUCUGUUAAUCGGGACGAAAGAGUUCUGCGUGAAUAAUGCAGAAAAGUGACGGUACCGGAAUAGAAAGCCACGGCUAACUACGUGCCAGCAGCCGCCGUAA
This 523-nucleotide ribosomal RNA is filed under the name uncultured bacterium. RNAcentral describes it as "partial 16S ribosomal RNA". It matches the Rfam family "Bacterial small subunit ribosomal RNA", at positions 28 to 523 of the family's 1533-position model. The record is from RNAcentral.